UACGUAGGUGGCAAGCGUUGUCCGGAAUUACUGGGCGUAAAGCGUGCGCAGGCGGUUUUGUAAGCCAGAUGUGAAAUCCCCGGGCUCAACCUGGGAAUGGCAUUUGGGACUGCAAGGCUGGAGUGUGGCAGAGGAGACUGGAAUUCCUGGUGUAGCAGUGAAAUGCGUAGAUAUCAGGAGGAAUACCGAUGGCGAAGGCAGGUCUCUGGGCUGACACUGACGCUCAUGCACGAAAGCGUGGGGAGCAAACAGG
Molecule: ribosomal RNA, 253 nt
Filed under: uncultured bacterium
Lineage: Bacteria
Description: partial 16S ribosomal RNA
Rfam family: Bacterial small subunit ribosomal RNA
Source: RNAcentral